Molecule: ribosomal RNA, 492 nt
Filed under: uncultured bacterium
Lineage: Bacteria
Description: partial 16S ribosomal RNA
Rfam family: Bacterial small subunit ribosomal RNA
Source: RNAcentral
AGUGAACGCUGGCGGUAGGCCUAACACAUGCAAGUCGAACGGCAGCACAGUAAGAGCUUGCUCUUACGGGUGGCGAGUGGCGGACGGGUGAGGAAUACAUCGGAAUCUACUUUUUCGUGGGGGAUAACGUAGGGAAACUUACGCUAAUACCGCAUACGACCUACGUGUGAAAGCAGGGGAUCUUCGGACCUUGCGCGAUUGAAUGAGCCGAUGUCGGAUUAGCUAGUUGGCGGGGUAAAGGCCCACCCAGGCGACGAUCCGUAGCUGGUCUGAGAGGAUGAUCAGCCACACUGGAACUGAGACACGGUCCAGACUCCUACGGGAGGCAGCAGUGGGGAAUAUUGGACAAUGGGCGCAAGCCUGAUCCAGCCAUACCGCGUGGGUGAAGAAGGCCUUCGGGUUGGAAAGCCCUUUUGUUGGGAAAGAAAAGCAGCAGGUUAAUACCCCGCUGUUCUGACGGUACCCAAAGAAUAAGCACCGGCUAACUUCGUG